AUCUAUGGAUGAAAGCGGGGGACCGAAAGGCCUCGCGCGAUUGGAGCGGCCGAUGUCAGAUUAGCUAGUUGGUGGGGUAAAGGCCCACCAAGGCGACGAUCUGUAGCUGGUCUGAGAGGACGACCAGCCACACUGGGACUGAGACACGGCCCAGACUCCUACGGGAGGCAGCAGUGGGGAAUUUUGGACAAUGGGCGCAAGCCUGAUCCAGCAAUGCCGCGUGCAGGAAGAAGGCCUUCGGGUUGUAAACUGCUUUUGUACGGAACGAAACGGUCCGGGUUAAUACCCUGGGCUAAUGACGGUACCGUAAGAAUAAGCACCGGCUAACUACGUGCCAGCAGCCGCGGUAAUACGUAGGGUGCAAGCGUUAAUCGGAAUUACUGGGCGUAAAGCGUGCGCAGGCGGUUUUGUAAGACAGGCGUGAAAUCCCCGGGCUCAACCUGGGAAUGGCGCUUGUGACUGUGAAACUGGAGUGCGGCAGAGGGGGAUGGAAUUCCGCGUGUAGCAGUGAAAUGCGUAGAUAUGCGGAGGAACACCGAUGGCGAAGGCAAUCCCCUGGGCCUGCACUGACGCUCAUGCACGAAAGCGUGGGGAACAAACAGGAUUAGAUACCCU
RNAcentral lists this ribosomal RNA (615 nucleotides) under uncultured bacterium. RNAcentral's name for it is "bacterial SSU rRNA". It matches the Rfam family "Bacterial small subunit ribosomal RNA", at positions 192 to 788 of the family's 1533-position model. The record is from RNAcentral.